This 73-nucleotide transfer RNA is filed under the name Candidatus Pacearchaeota archaeon. Its description in RNAcentral is "tRNA-Glu". It matches the Rfam family "tRNA". From Rfam's summary of the family: Transfer RNA (tRNA) molecules are approximately 80 nucleotides in length. Their secondary structure includes four short double-helical elements and three loops (D, anti-codon, and T loops). The record is from RNAcentral. Lineage: Archaea; Nanobdellati.
GCUCCUUUAGUUCAGGGGACAAGAAUGCAUCCCUCUCACGGAUGUGACCCGGGUUCGAAUCCCGGAAGGAGCG